ACUUUUACCUUGAAAACAUUUGUAAUCAAACGAUUCUGAAUGCUAUUUUCUGAGCGAUUGCUUCCAAGUGAUUCACAUGGAGGAAGCCAUUAUUCACAACAGUGAGUAAACAGUCGCUGAAAAUAGAGUUUUUGUCAAUAUUCAAGGAUGUCAUCUUGCGGAAAUAUAAACUAAUAGUAACCAUGUCAUCACAAACCCCUAAGCGUAUAUGCUGCAGGUCAAAUAUCUGUGUUUUAUGCAGAUUUUCAUUUGCUGAGAGAUCAGUGUCAGCGACCUGGGAAGGGAAAAUCCAAAAACAUUUUAAGUCUUGACAAACCCGAAAUUUGA
Molecule: long non-coding RNA, 327 nt
Organism: Haliotis rubra (blacklip abalone)
Lineage: Eukaryota; Metazoa; Mollusca; Gastropoda; Lepetellida; Haliotidae
Exons: 4
Source: RefSeq, a predicted model, not a curated record